RNAcentral lists this ribosomal RNA (252 nucleotides) under uncultured bacterium. RNAcentral's name for it is "partial 16S ribosomal RNA". It matches the Rfam family "Bacterial small subunit ribosomal RNA", at positions 524 to 776 of the family's 1533-position model. The record is from RNAcentral.
UACGAAGGGUGCAAACGUUGCUCGGAAUUAUUGGGCGUAAAGCGCACGUAGGCGGCUUAGUAAGUUGGAUGUGAAAUCCCUCGGCUUAACCAAGGAAGUGCAUCCAAAACUACUGAGCUUGAGUACUAAAGAGGAUCGCGGAAUUCCGGUGUAGAGGUGAAAUUCGUAGAUAUCAGGAGGAACACCAGUGGCGAAGGCGGCGAUCUGGGUAGAUACUGACGCUGAGGUGACGAAGCGUGGGGAGCAAACAGG